AACACUGUGAGAAGACAGAGAAACCAUUUAUUUCUUGAGAGCAGUUAACUGAAUUUGACCCUUAUAUUAUGGUUAACUAAGAAAAGGAUUCUGAAGAGACUUUGGCUACUACCCUGAGAACUGUGAAGAUUGGAUUUGUCUCUCUCCUAAUUCUAACAAUGAAGGUACUUAGCUCUUCCUUGAUUGUGAAGAUUAAAUUGUAAUCCCCUAUUUUUUAGAUUUUAAUCCCCAAAGUAUAAAGCACAGUACUUAAAGUUGAGUAUGGAGAUCUACCCAUUUUGGAUUUUAACCACAAAAAGGUAUGAACACCCAUUUCAUACAUUGAGUGAGAAGUCUGUGACCCAUGUGUGAAAGAGUGGGCAGUCCUGGAGUGGAGCGUCAGCUGUGAUUGGUAGAUGUAAAAUUUAGGGGAAGUGACACAAGAGAAAAAGGUCUUUACAAGUAGAAAAAGAGAUACACAGAGGAUAGACACUUGAAGGGAGACACUUGGAGUGAAGAGAGACACUUGGAGUGAAGAGAGUCACUUGGAGUGCAGAGAAACUUGAGAAGACGCUUAAAGGGCAUCACUUGGAGUGAAGAUGGACACUUGGAGUUUGAAAGAAACACACUUGGAGUGGAGCCUGCUGGAGUUGAGGCUCAUAAAAGAAUCUGCUUAUUGAACUGACAGCAUGGAUUCACAGUUGGGAACUGACAGUGUCUCUUUGGAAGAUGACAGAGACGGAGUGGAGGUGUCUCUCUCUGAAGGGAAAAGACUUUGGAGCUGCCAGGAAAUUGGACCAUCUUGAAGGAGUGGUUGAGUGAGUGAAUACCCCACACUGGUGGACAGUGUGUGUGUGUGUUAUUCCUCAUCCCCUCCUGAGUCCUGUGAGGACUCUUCAUCCUGAGACUGCUGUCUGGAUCAAGAAGGACUUUUGCAUGAGGCCCUGUUGACCAAUAUUCCACUCAGAACUUCCAAGACUGGAACUGGACACGGAGGCAAUUGCUGGAGAAAGAAAACCAAUAACAUUAAUAAAUAUUUAACAAUAAAUUUUAAAUAAAAUCCU
RNAcentral lists this long non-coding RNA (1043 nucleotides) under Monodelphis domestica (gray short-tailed opossum). Its description in RNAcentral is "lncRNA (ENSMODG00000032184.2)". Lineage: Eukaryota; Metazoa; Chordata; Mammalia; Didelphimorphia; Didelphidae. The record is from RNAcentral.